This 355-nucleotide ribosomal RNA is filed under the name Haemulon aurolineatum. Its description in RNAcentral is "partial 12S ribosomal RNA". It matches the Rfam family "Bacterial small subunit ribosomal RNA", at positions 838 to 1360 of the family's 1533-position model. Lineage: Eukaryota; Metazoa; Chordata; Actinopteri; Lutjaniformes; Haemulidae. The record is from RNAcentral.
AAACAUAGACGUAUUACUACAUAUNCCGUCCGCCCGGGGAUUACAAGCACCAGCUUAAAACCCAAAGGACUUGGCGGGGCUUUAGAUCCACCUAGAGGAGCCUGUUCUAGAACCGAUGACCCCCGUUCAACCUCACCCUUCCUUGUUCAUUCCGCCUAUAUACCACCGUCGUCAGCUUACCCUGUGAAGGUCCCAUAGUAAGCAAGAUUGGCACUGCCCAAAACGCCAGGUCGAGGUGUAGCGUAUGGAAGGGGAAGCAAUGGGCUACAUUCACUACUGCCAGUGAACACGAAUAGUGCACUGAAAUAUGCACAUUGAAGGAGGAUUUAGCAGUAAGCAGGAAAUAGAGUGUUCU